UAGGAAGUGGUGUAGGGGAAGCACAAAGAGUUUUGAUCUCUUUGGUGGGGGUUCAAAUCCCUUCUUUCUAG
Molecule: transfer RNA, 71 nt
Filed under: Brachygobius doriae
Lineage: Eukaryota; Metazoa; Chordata; Actinopteri; Gobiiformes; Gobiidae
Description: tRNA-Gln
Rfam family: tRNA
About the family: Transfer RNA (tRNA) molecules are approximately 80 nucleotides in length. Their secondary structure includes four short double-helical elements and three loops (D, anti-codon, and T loops).
Source: RNAcentral